RNAcentral lists this unclassified non-coding RNA (1245 nucleotides) under Hevea brasiliensis (rubber tree). Lineage: Eukaryota; Viridiplantae; Streptophyta; Magnoliopsida; Malpighiales; Euphorbiaceae. The record is from RNAcentral.
UAGAUAAGAUAUAGACCUAAAACUUUCAUGAAGAACACAAACCCAAAUUAUGCCAUUAACCAAGUCAUUUGGCCACCCCAAGUUGGUGACCCAAAUCUGCCAGCACCAAAAAUUGCCCAGAAUUCUGGGUUGAAUUCAAUCCGGCAACCAUGGUUCAAAUGGCCAUAACUUGAGCUACAAAACUCCAAAUGGAGUGAUUCAAAAAAGGAAAUUCAACUAGACAAAAUAAGAAACAACUUUCAUGUUUACCAUUUCCUCAAAUUCCCACUGUAACAGUGCUUAAUGGAAUAGUAAAGUUAAGCUUCAAAAAUUGAAAAUUUUGCUUCUCUUGGUUUAAGCUUAGAAAUGGUAUUAAUGCUUAAUGCCAACAAGUUUUAAAUAUAAAAUGUGGUAUAUUGGAAGUGUUAAAACCAAUGCAACUAUUUUCUAUGCAAAAUUCAACUUUUUGUUGACCAAUGAAGUGAAUAGUGACACCAAGACUUGAAAUUCAAAAAUUGUGAAACUUAAAAGUGCAAAAUGCCCUAGUAGGCCUAAUGUGAUUGGUUUGGAUAGGUUGGCAUGCCAAUAGGGUUCUGAUAGCAGUACUGCGUAUGGCUUCAUGUCAUUCUGUGAUAUGAUAGCCUAUGGCUAUACUGAUUAUGAUGUUAUACUUGGCUUUAUGCCUUAUUGCUUUUAUGGCUUAUUAGCCAUUCUGUUUGCACACCGGGAGACACAUUGUGACCGAUGGUGUGACGGCCCGAGGUACUAGGUACCCAGUGCCAGUUUACCCGUUAUCCAGUCCAGUCGUCUAGUGUAGGUUACUUGGGGCAACCAAAUGAAUAAAAGUGGACAAAGUAAAUGAUAUAUAAAUACCAAACAAAUAAAACGUACACAUUCACUACACAUUUAAUUUCUUGCUAUUUUCUUUUAUUAUAUUAUUGCACCACUAAGCAUUAUUGCUUAGCGCGUUGCUUUUGCCACGCGUAGGUACUGGAGAUACAGAUCGUGAGCCCAGUAGACCGCAGACUGGGUGAGUCCAUCCUGCAGCUCUGCAUAGUGUCCGUGUCACCUCACCAUCUUCAGUGCAUUGGUAGGACACUAGGUUUCAUUUUGAUAUUUUGUAACUAAUUUUUAUUUUCUCAUAUGUAAUUGAACUUAUGAAAUGUAUUUUGAUGUUCAUGUAAAUAAUGAGAAUUGUGUUUGUAAAUGAAAAAGUGAAUGUUUAUCUGUGAUAUAUAUAUGAUUAUCACAUGAAAUGAAUGAUUG